GGAUGCUAAUACCGCAUAGUUUUCAGGAAUCGCAUGAUUCUGAAGGAAAGGUGGCUUCGGCUACCACUAAUGGAUGGACCCGCGGCGUAUAGCUAGUUGGUGAGGUAAUGGCUCACCAAGGCAAUGAUACGUAGCCGACCUGAGAGGGUGAUCGGCCACACUGGGACUGAGACACGGCCCAGACUCCUACGGGAGGCAGCAGUAGGGAAUCUUCCGCAAUGGACGAAAGUCUGACGGAGCAACGCCGCGUGAGUGAAGAAGGUUUUCGGAUCGUAAAACUCUGUUGUUAAAGAAGAACAAGGAUGAGAGUAACUGCUCAUCCCCUGACGGUAUUUAACCAGAAAGCCACGGCUAACUACGUGCCAGCAGCCGCGGUAAUACGUAGGUGGCAAGCGUUGUCCGGAUUUAUUGGGCGUAAAGCGAGCGCAGGCGGUUCUUUAAGUCUGAUGUGAAAGCCCCCGGCUCAACCGGGGAGGGUCAUUGGAAACUGGAGAACUUGAGUGCAGAAGAGGAGAGUGGAAUUCCACGUGUAGCGGUGAAAUGCGUAGAUAUGUGGAGGAACACCAGUGGCGAAGGCGACUCUCUGGUCUGUAACUGACGCUGAGGCUCGAAAGCGUGGGGAGCAAACAGG
This 631-nucleotide ribosomal RNA is filed under the name uncultured Vagococcus sp. Its description in RNAcentral is "bacterial SSU rRNA". It matches the Rfam family "Bacterial small subunit ribosomal RNA", at positions 158 to 776 of the family's 1533-position model. The record is from RNAcentral. Lineage: Bacteria; Bacillati; Bacillota; Bacilli; Lactobacillales; Enterococcaceae.